AUUGAACGCUGGCGGCAUGCUUUACACAUGCAAGUCGAACGGCAGCACGGGCUUCGGCCUGGUGGCGAGUGGCGAACGGGUGAGUAAUGCAUCGGAACGUGCCCAUUUGUGGGGGAUAACUACGCGAAAGCGUGGCUAACACCGCAUACGCCCUGAGGGGGAAAGCGGGGGAUUCUUCAGAACCUCGCGCAAUUGGAGCGGCCGAUGUCAGAUUAGCUUGUUGGUGAGGUAAAGGCUCACCAAGGCGACGAUCUGUAGCGGGUCUGAGAGGAUGAUCCGCCACACUGGGACUGAGACACGGCCCAGACUCCUACGGGAGGCAGCAGUGGGGAAUUUUGGACAAUGGGGGCAACCCUGAUCCAGCCAUGCCGCGUGAGUGAAGAAGGCCUCGG
RNAcentral lists this ribosomal RNA (392 nucleotides) under uncultured bacterium. RNAcentral describes it as "bacterial SSU rRNA". It matches the Rfam family "Bacterial small subunit ribosomal RNA", at positions 30 to 420 of the family's 1533-position model. The record is from RNAcentral.